CAAUCCAUGAGUAAAGUGGCGCACGGGUGAGUAACACGUGACUAACCUACCCUUGAGUGGGGGAUAACCUAGGGAAACCUGGGCUAAUACCGCAUAAUACCUACGGGUCAAAGGAGCAAUUCGCUUAAGGAGGGGGUCGCGGCAGAUUAGUUAGUUGGCGGGGUAAUGGCCCACCAAGGCUCCGAUCCGUAGCUGGUCUGAGAGGACGAUCAGCCACACUGGGACUGAGACACGGCCCAG
Molecule: ribosomal RNA, 240 nt
Filed under: uncultured bacterium
Lineage: Bacteria
Description: partial 16S ribosomal RNA
Rfam family: Bacterial small subunit ribosomal RNA
Source: RNAcentral